UAAAUAGUAAAAAAGCAAAUGGCCAAUUGAUGUUCCCCUACCAUUCAUUCAGAAUAGAACAAAUAGAUUUUUCUCACUUUUCCUUGCAAAAAGGCCAGGGAAAGGCUUAAGGAAUAUGGAAGGGAGGGCUGUUUUCCUUCAGUUGUGUUGUGUAAGAAAAUGUACAGGUAAAUUAGACUUGUUCAAGGAGUUCAACAAAUCACCAAUUAAACAUCAUUAAUGGCACCUCACACUCACUGAACAUCGGCAACAAAUCCCUCCAAGGUGUCAUAUGGCCAGAAUAAAUCUACCUCUAUGUCGACUCCACUUUAAGGACUAUCUUCAUGAACUCGUAUACGAAGUAACUUAUGGCAGCUGAUGGUAAAACCUGCAAUAAGCUGGGAAUUAAUCCUGCAUAAAGAGCAGGAACACCUCCUUGUUCAACUAUUUUGACACAAGUUGCCAAUGCAUUCAUCUUUGUUGCUCGAACUUGCAUUUGAAGGUGUCUCCUCACAACUUCAAAUGGAUAUGUUGCAGCUUCAGAGCAACAGCCAGCAAUAGCCCCAUAAAGCAAUGUUCUAAGGGGACCCAAUUCCAGUUGUUCCAAUGCAUUCAGUUCCUGGCCUUCUUGUUUCAAAUUUUGAAUUCUCUUCUUCCCUUCUGGUGAAUGGAGAUAAGCUGACUUUAAUAUAUCAUAAACACCAUAGAAAACUGCACCUGAAGGUGCCAUGCUCACUAAUGAGGGUACUAAACCCUUAUAUAAAGAAAAAAAGCCUUCAGUCUGGAUCAUGUGGCGGAAAGUUCCAAUUAUACCACCCAAUGCUUCCCCACCAGGUGCUACCAUCUUUGUCCUUAUAGUGUCCAUUGGCAAGCAAAGCAAGGAUGCAGUAAUUCCAGCUGCAGCGCCAGCAAGGAACCUCUCAAAAUUUGUUGUUUCCUCAUUCCCAGACCAUUUCAGAAGUUGGUUUCUAUAUGUAUCAUAUGCAUAGAAAUUGAUCGAUUUAAAUGGAGCAGUGCGAAGAAUAUUAACAAAGUUUCCCUUCCAAAAACCUUUCAGUCCUUCAGCUGCCUCAAUUGUCUUCAUGAGCUCAAAAAGACCCCUCUGUUCACCACGAACUACAUACUCAAGCUUCAAUCUCUCCAGAGGUGCUAUAAAAGUUCUUGAAACCAUAGCAGCAACAGCGCCAGCCCAGAGAUGUUUGGUGGUAUUCAAAGCAGCUGAUCGUGAUCUUCGCACUUCAACCUUCUUCUUCUCCUCCGAAAAAACCACCGCAUUAUCCUCCUCGAAAUUCUUAUCCUGUCCAUUUUGCCCCAAACCCUCUCGCGAUUCCCCAACGUAAUCUUCUUCAUCAUCGCUCCCUUUUAUCGACAAGCUCACCGAUAAAAACAACCCUCCCUUGUUUACCUUAUUCCCUCGCCGUCGAUCCUCGAAGCUUAACUCAUUCCUCGAAAAACACGAAGAAGAACGAGCUUUGAUCUUGGACGAGAUUAAGGAAACAAAGGAAGGACAUAUAACGUCAUCGCCAAGGAAAAGACCACCGAGGUGGGACGGCUGAUCGAACGGUUCAGAAUUGAGAUUGAUCAGAGCAGAGAAUAUCAGAUCGUGUCGGUACAUUAUGAGAGCGGAAGAAACUGUAAAACUUCAGCGAAAACAAGGAAGAGGAGGAGGAGGACGAGAAGAAGAGAAACAACACGAGAGAGUUAUAAGAAAUGGAAAAUAGUGGGAGAGACUUGAAUAGGAAGAGAGAAUAGCAUGGGAAGUGUUGGUGUUGUUGGAGAUGUGAAAGUGACAAAGGAAUUUCGGAGAUGCUGGCGGAGGUGCUGCGGUGGCUGCUUGGCUUCCACCGCCGCAGUCACAUUGCUCUCGUCGGAGGUAGUUGUUGGAACUUGGCCUUUGGGCUUUUCUUGCUUUUGUCUGUGUCGUGUGUUAUAAUACUAC
Molecule: unclassified non-coding RNA, 1918 nt
Filed under: Hevea brasiliensis (rubber tree)
Lineage: Eukaryota; Viridiplantae; Streptophyta; Magnoliopsida; Malpighiales; Euphorbiaceae
Source: RNAcentral